Non-coding RNA from Camelina sativa (false flax), 338 nucleotides. NCBI's taxonomy places the organism in Eukaryota, Viridiplantae, Streptophyta, Magnoliopsida, Brassicales, Brassicaceae. The record is from RefSeq and is a predicted model, not a curated record.
UUUUCUUCUACUUGUUUUAUUUUCUUCUACCUCCAGCCGCAUCUCUUUCUAGCUUGCUGGAAACAAAUCUCCACAUGAUUGAACGGCAUAAACGUCACCGUCCUCUCCGCAACUUCACAACUAACUAAGAAAUUUGGGAUUGUAGUUAGGUUUCGACUUGUAAAUUUGUUAAUUAGCUUGUAAAUUUUUUUAAUUAGUUGUAAACUUUUUUCGGUUAACCAAAUUAACCGAAAAAAAAAGAAAUUCGGUUUAGUUCGGAAGUCAUUUUACAGCAUGUAACUGAACCGAAUAACCCGAGUACCGAAUAACCCGAACCGAAUUGUAAUUCGGUUUAAUUC